CCCUCCUCUGGAGUUUUGCAGGGAGCCUAGGACGCAGGGAAGUUGUCUGAAUGGCAGAAGAGUUGCGCAAGUAACUGGCAGAUCUCUCUUGUUGAGAUUUCUUCCCACAGCGAAGCUGGUUGUUGAAAUGUCUUCUGAAACUCUCACUGAGCAAAUACAGUGCAAAUGGAUUGACACAAGAGUUGCAGAAGCUUAGCACUCGGGCCACUAAGCAGAAUUUUCAAGAAAUGGAGAAAUUAUUUUCACUUACCAAGAAAAGAGAAGUUUAACAUGAGUGAAGAGGGAUUCAUAUAUUCCAGUGCUUUGCCGAAUCACAGAGUCAUGGAAUAUGCACAGUUGGAAGGCACCCAAAAUGACUAUACAGCUCAACCCAACCCCUGGCUGCAUACAGAACCACCCAAAAUUCAAACACUGUGUCUGAGAGCAUUGUCCAAACCACUCCUAGAACUCCAUCGCCUUGGUGCUGUGCCCACUGCCCUGGGCAGCCUGCAGCCUGUUUCAUGUCUGCCGCCCCUCUGGUAGAGACCCUUUCCCUAACUCCCACCUGUCCCUCCCCUGACGCAGCUCCAUGCCGUUCCCUCGGGCCCUGUCGCUGUCAA
This is a long non-coding RNA of Lagopus leucura (white-tailed ptarmigan), 599 nucleotides long. RefSeq lists it as uncharacterized. NCBI's taxonomy places the organism in Eukaryota, Metazoa, Chordata, Aves, Galliformes, Phasianidae. The transcript has 4 exons. The record is from RefSeq and is a predicted model, not a curated record.